GUCGAAGUCCCAUGGUUAGGGCUUUCAGCUGGGGAGGGGUAUCUUUGUGCCAAGCUAGACUGUGUUUAAUCCUUUUAAUCACAAGAGACAAAAAUCCUCAGACACGAGAAGGCAUGUAUCACCUGAAAUUGCCUGAGAGGCUCAACCAACUUUUAGUCACAAGAUCUGCGAACACUUCCCUAGUGGGUGCUGAGGUUCUCCAAGGAGCUGCUGGGCCCAUUUGCAAACAGAUAAGCAAACGGCUGGCUCCUGUGGGUUCUCUUAUUCCAGCCCUCCUGAGGUAGAUCAGCAGGACCUGUUUUCUGAGCACCUGUCAGGACCCCCGGUCCCCAGCCUGCUGAUGGCAGCAGGAUCUGGUUGAAACAAGGUGUAGUGAAGAAGCUGGCAGACACCAGAAACCAGCAGAUGGGAACGAAAGCAACCGCUAGUUGCCCUCACUGCUCACUAACAUAGACACUCCCCCUGGCACCAUGGUAGUUUACAAAUGCCAUGGCAGCACGCCAUGGCAACAACCUGAAAGUUACAGGGUUC
This 531-nucleotide long non-coding RNA is filed under the name Homo sapiens (human). Its description in RNAcentral is "non-protein coding lnc-GP9-1:1". Lineage: Eukaryota; Metazoa; Chordata; Mammalia; Primates; Hominidae. The record is from RNAcentral.